GCUAGCGUGGCAGAGCUUGGUAAAUGCAAAAGGCUUAAGCCCUUUACCCAGAGGU
RNAcentral lists this transfer RNA (55 nucleotides) under Rhizothera longirostris. Its description in RNAcentral is "partial tRNA-Leu". The record is from RNAcentral. Lineage: Eukaryota; Metazoa; Chordata; Aves; Galliformes; Phasianidae.